Molecule: ribosomal RNA, 494 nt
Filed under: uncultured bacterium
Lineage: Bacteria
Description: partial 16S ribosomal RNA
Rfam family: Bacterial small subunit ribosomal RNA
Source: RNAcentral
GACGAACGCUGGCGGCGUGCUUAACACAUGCAAGUCGAACGGUGAAGCGCCUUCCUUUUUGGUGGGUGUGGAUGAGUGGCGAACGGGUGAGUAACACGUGAGUAACCUGCCCCCUUCUUCUGGAUAACCGCAUGAAAGUGUGGCUAAUACGGGAUAUUCUGGGUCUGUCGCAUGAUGGGUCUGGGAAAGAUAUUGUUUCGGUGGGGGAUGGGCUCGCGGCCUAUCAGCUUGUUGGUGGGGUGAUGGCCUACCAAGGCGGUGACGGGUAGCCGGCCUGAGAGGGUGGACGGCCACACUGGGACUGAGACACGGCCCAGACUCCGACGGGAGGCAGCAGUGGGGAAUAUUGCACAAUGGGCGCAAGCCUGAUGCAGCGACGCCGCGUGAGGGAUGGAGGCCUUCGGGUUGUGAACCUCUUUCGCCAGUGAAGCAGGCCUGCCUCGUUUGUGGGUGGGUUGACGGUAGCUGGAUAAGAAGCGCCGGCUAACUACGUG